UAAGACUGGAAAGGAAGAUAAAAAAGGCAUUUUUUAUUUUUUAAAAGACCUAGUAAUAGGUAUGCUUUAGGAGGGGCUUGCGCCAUAUUAGUUAGUUGGUAGGGUAAUGGCCUACCAAGACGAUGAUGUGUAGCUGGACUGAGAGGUUGAACAGCCACAUUGGGACUGAGACACGGCCCAAACUCCUACGGGAGGCAGCAGUAGGGAAUUUUCGGCAAUGGAGGAAACUCUGACCGAGCAACGCCGCGUGAAUGACGAAGUACUUCGGUAUGUAAAGUUCUUUUAUCAAGGAAGAAAAGCAAAUGGCGAACCAUUUGUUUGCCGGUACUUGAUGAAUAAGCCCCGGCUAAUUAUGUGCCAGCAGCCGCGGUAAGACAUAAGGGGCAAGUGUUAUCCGGAAUUAUUGGGCGUAAAGGGUGCGUAGGCGGUCUAGUAAGUCAGUGGUGUAAUGGCAACGCUUAACGUUGUCCGGCUAUUGAAACUGCUAAACUUGAGUUAGAUAGAGGCGAGUGGAAUUCCAUGUGUAGCGGUAAAAUGCGUAAAUAUAUGGAGGAACACCAGAGGCGUAGGCGGCUCGCUGGGUCUUAACUGACGCUGAGGCACGAAAGCGUGGGGAGCAAACAGGAUUAGAUACCCUGGUAGUCCACGCCGUAAACGAUGAGUACUAAGUGUCGGGUUAAACCGGUACUGAAGUUAACACAUUAAGUACUCCGCCUGAGUAGUACGUACGCAAGUAUGAAACUUAAAGGAAUUGACGGGACUCCGCACAAGCGGUGGAUCAUGUUGUUUAAUUCGAAGAUACCCGAAAAACCUUACCAGGUCUUGACAUGUUUUUGCAAAAUGAUAGUAAUAUCGUGGAGGUUACCAGAAACACAGGUGGUGCAUGGUUGUCGUCAGCUCGUGUCGUGAGAUGUUAGGUUAAGUCCUAAAACGAGCGAAACCCUUAUCGUUAGUUGCCAGCACGUUAUGGUGGGGACUUUAACGAGACUGCAAUGAUAAAUUGGAGGAAGGUGAGGAUCACGUCAAAUCAGCAUGCCCCUUAUGACCUGGGCUCACAAACGUGAUACAAAUGGCUGUUACAAAGGGUAGCUGAAAAA
This 1097-nucleotide ribosomal RNA is filed under the name Tobacco phytoplasma. RNAcentral's name for it is "bacterial SSU rRNA". It matches the Rfam family "Bacterial small subunit ribosomal RNA", at positions 164 to 1257 of the family's 1533-position model. The record is from RNAcentral. Lineage: Bacteria; Bacillati; Mycoplasmatota; Mollicutes; Acholeplasmatales; Acholeplasmataceae.